Small nucleolar RNA from Leptobrachium leishanense (Leishan spiny toad), 71 nucleotides. Its record names the gene SNORD18. It matches the Rfam family "Small nucleolar RNA SNORD18". Rfam says of the family: U18 is a member of the C/D class of snoRNA which contain the C (UGAUGA) and D (CUGA) box motifs. It is encoded in introns of ribosomal protein L1 in Xenopus and human, and in introns of elongation factor 1 beta in yeast. Lineage: Eukaryota; Metazoa; Chordata; Amphibia; Anura; Megophryidae. The record is from Ensembl.
GAGUAAUGAUGAGUUCCACUUCAUUGGUCCGUGUUUCUGAAUCUAAUGAUAUUGGUGGAAGUUCUGAUCUC